CCACUUCAUCUGCCAUUCAAAGUUGCCAAACACCCUAUCCAGUCUACUACAUACUCUAUCAUUACCACUUUGUUGAUUAGACCAGGUAAAGAAAUUUCCUUUCCAUGGAAGUUCAACCAGGCCUGAUUGCUGAAUGCAGUUAUUGAAAUCAACUAGUUCCCUUUCCUUAACUUGUUGGCAGGAUUGUCUAUCCUUGCUAGACAGUAUGGCAUUAAAAUCUCUUGCAAUGAUCCAUGGAUCUGUAAUACCAGCAGAUAAGUUUAGAAUAGAAUUACACAGCAUCCUCCUCUGAUCACAGUCAUUAAAACCAUAUACUACUGUAAGGCAGCAGAUAGUAUCACCAGUGAUAGUUUGAACCUUACAAUGGAUGAGCUGAGCUUCCUCAAGAAAUCUAGUGACCAACACCUUUGUAGGGUCCCAUAGGAUCCAUAUUCUACCAUUCACUGCUCCACUGUAN
Molecule: long non-coding RNA, 457 nt
Filed under: Nicotiana benthamiana
Lineage: Eukaryota; Viridiplantae; Streptophyta; Magnoliopsida; Solanales; Solanaceae
Description: long non-coding RNA (NBEN_LNC039636)
Source: RNAcentral